RNAcentral lists this ribosomal RNA (459 nucleotides) under uncultured bacterium. RNAcentral describes it as "partial 16S ribosomal RNA". It matches the Rfam family "Bacterial small subunit ribosomal RNA", at positions 339 to 795 of the family's 1533-position model. The record is from RNAcentral.
CCUCGGGAGGCAGCAGUAGGGAAUUUUCGGCAAUGGGGGGAACCCUGACCGAGCAACGCCGCGUGAAGGAUGACUGCCCUACGGGUUGUAAACUUCUUUUAUAAAGGAAUAAAGUGAGGCACGUGUGCCUUUUUGUAUGUACUUUAUGAAUAAGGAUCGGCUAACUCCGUGCCAGCAGCCGCGGUAAUACGGAGGAUCCGAGCGUUAUCCGGAUUUAUUGGGUUUAAAGGGUGCGUAGGUGGUUAAUUAAGUCAGCGGUGAAAGUUUGUGGCUCAACCAUAAAAUUGCCGUUGAAACUGGUUGACUUGAGUAUAUUUGAGGUAGGCGGAAUGCGUGGUGUAGCGGUGAAAUGCAUAGAUAUCACGCAGAACUCCGAUUGCGAAGGCAGCUUACUAAACUAUAACUGACACUGAAGCACGAAAGCGUGGGGAUCAAACAGGAUUAGAUACCCCUGUAGUC